AUCUCUACUUACCACCAAUCUUCUUGUUUGAGGAUUAUACAACUUUUAGGCUUUGGAUUUCUCACUAUAUCUCAUGAACACAUUUUUUUUUCAAUGCUCAUCAAGCUUCCUUUGUCUUCUGGUAGAGAACUCCCCACUAGGUAAGCCAAUUUUCCAUGCUCAUCAAGCUUCAUUUGUCUUCCGGUAGAGAACUCCUCACUUGACUUAAAUUUUUUGUCAACACCAAAGGAACCAGAGGCGGCAUCAGAGCUUCAAGCUUCCUUUGUCUUCUGGUAGAGAACUCUGCACUAGGGAAGUCAAUUUUCCAUGCUCAGCUUCAUUUGUCUUCUGGUAGAGAACUUCACACUGGGAUUAGUUCCAGUAUGUUUCAAACUUAAAUUUUUUGUGAACACCAAAGGAACCGAGGGCGGUAUCAGAGCUUCACUAUGAUCUAAAAAAUCAUGGCUUCUAACCUAGUGCAACUCCAUGUACUUAUGCUAACUAAAGACAACUAUAGAAAAUGGUGCAUUCAAUUCAAGGCAUUAUUCGGCUUACAGGACCUAUGGGAUAUUGUUGACAUUUGUUAUAUGGAUCCUACUCCAGAAGAAGAAGAGGCUUAUAUUCCAGAACAGAAGAAUACUUUCAAGGACGAACAUUGUUGAAGAAUUCAACAAUAUCGAACACGAACCAACACUUUUGUUCGUUCAUAAUGCAUCAAAGUUGACAGUUGUUGGAAGAAAGGAAGUCUUCGUUUGGGAGAUGACAGUUUCUAGAACACAUAAUGCAUCUAUGUGUGGUACCUAGACACAGAUGCAAGUAACCACAUGUGUACCAGAAGAAAGGAAGUCUUCGUUGUCUUUAGUACAUACUGAUUUCUUUAUGGUUAAAAAAAAUUAUGUUUGAAACAAAACAGGAUACUCUUG
Long non-coding RNA from Mangifera indica (mango), 902 nucleotides. RefSeq lists it as uncharacterized. The record is from RefSeq and is a predicted model, not a curated record. Lineage: Eukaryota; Viridiplantae; Streptophyta; Magnoliopsida; Sapindales; Anacardiaceae. The transcript has 3 exons.